AUGCAGCAAGCCCGUUCAUCGGGAAGAAAGAAGCCAUCUCCUCAGCAAGGUGUUCGUAACGCAGCUCUGUCCAGUAGUCCCCAACAAGCUCUGGCUAACCCUCUUACGCCUGAUGAAAAAGUGCAGCACCAGCUCAUGGAUCUACUUCUCAACUGCAGGAAGAGAGGAGAGAAGAGCUGCUAUCAAGUCAGGGCCAUGGCAAUCAUUCCUUGUAAAGAUUUCAUUUUCCUCGUUGAGUUUGACGAUGUCCUCCAUAUGGGAUAUGUCGAGCUGGCACUGUGGAUUGUGAACAGACUCAAAUAUAACCAAGACGUGAAUUUGCUGAGGCGGACGUUAGUGAAGUUCCUAGAGGCGGAACUUCCUCAUGCGAGAUCCGAAGUGAGAGACACCAGCUUGGAUUUCGUGGGCACUCCAAAGUCAAUGAAGCCUCUAUCUGAGUACACAUAUAGAGAUGUGGUAGAAUUGGAUACCUCAGUGUUGGGCAAUAUGCAUCAGCUGCUGAAAGUUAUCUUCCAUGGGAGGUUGAUAUACUUUGCUGGCUGCGAUCACCUCUAUGAUGAGUGGCGUGCCGGAAGAAGCUGGGCUGGGGAGUUCGAAGCCAAGGAUGUUUAUUUCUUGGAAUACAGCCAGAGCAGGAUAUCAUGCUGGAUCAGUGCCACUCCUACUGCGACAGGAAAGGGCUGCACUUCGACAGCCAAGACCCAUGAUAUGAAGAAGCGGAUGAAAGAGAUGAUGCCAAAGUACCAAAUCAAUGAUCAGUUCCCUGCAAACUUUGAUGCUCUGGAGAAAGACUUUGAGGCUUUAAAUGCGACUUCCAUCACCAUGACCCUGGUAUUGCAAUAUCUGCCCUAUCACGUGGCUAUGAUGCCGCUGCCUGCAACUGAAUAUCUCACCACGAAGCUGCACACAGUUCUUCAGAGUGUUCGUAUGGAUGUGGCCGAGUUUCAGGUGUACAAGGCAGUCUUUCACGACAAACCAGAUGGUGGAGAUGACUGGAGGGAGCCGUAUUUCAACUCGCCUGACCAAACUCUCAGGAGUGUUUAUCGGUAUGACAGGACAGGUACAGUGCCGAAGAAAGCUGUUGUGCAGGGAUCCGGGCAAGCUGGGCAGGGAUCCGGGCAAGCUGGGCAGGGAUCCGGGCAAGAUGGGCAGGGAUCCGGGCAAGAUGGGCAGGGAUCCGGGCAAGAUGGGCAGGAAUCCAGGCAAGCGAGGGGAGAUCCGGCUGGUAUUGACAAAUUCAAGGAGACUCGAGAAGGCAAGCUGGGUUAUAAGAGGCACAUUAAUAUGCAUGUGCAUCAGCAUGUGCCUGGCAGCACUCCAGGGCAGCAGAGGACCUUGACAGGCGUGUUUGAAGCUGAGUUGUAUUCAUCAAGUAACAACGGUAUAUUGGCUGAGAUAUCAAGGGAGCUGUUCAGUGGCAGGUCUACACAGAUGAAAUUGGCCACCCAGCUUGGCAUCAUCUAUGAGGCGUACCGGGCGAUGAGAUACAUUGGGGACAAGGGUGCUGUUGCUGUUGCUGAUGAUGGAACAACAUGA
This 1536-nucleotide ribosomal RNA is filed under the name Triticum aestivum (bread wheat). Its description in RNAcentral is "partial small subunit ribosomal RNA". The record is from RNAcentral. Lineage: Eukaryota; Viridiplantae; Streptophyta; Magnoliopsida; Poales; Poaceae.